UUGGAGGGCAAGUCUGGUGCCAGCAGCCGCGGUAAUUCCAGCUCCAAUAGCGUAUAUUAAAGUUGUUGCAGUUAAAAAGCUCGUAGUUGAAUUUCGGGAUCAGUACGCCGGUCGUGCCUUCGGUAUGCACUGGUGUCACUGGUUUCUCCCUUCUGAAGAACCAUCAUGCCAUUAAGUUGGUGUGGCGGGGAAUCAGGACUGUUACUUUGAAAAAAUUAGAAUGUUUAAAGCAGGCUCGCGCUUGAAUACAUUAGCAUGGAAUAAUGAAAUAGGACGUUUGACCCUAUUUUGUUGGUUUCUAGGAUCGACGUAAUGAUUAAUAGGGAUAGUUGGGGGCAUUAGUAUUCAAUUGUCAGAGGUGAAAUUCUUGGAUUUAUUGAAGACUAACUACUGCGAAAGCAUUUGCCAAGGAUGUUUUCAUUAAUCAAGAACGAAAGUUAGGGGAUCGAAGACGAUCAGAUACCGUCGUAGUCUUAACCAUAAACUAUGCCGACUAGGGAUCGGAUGAUGUUAAUUUUUUAAUGACUCAUUCGGCGCCUUACGGGAAAC
This 549-nucleotide ribosomal RNA is filed under the name uncultured Glomus. RNAcentral describes it as "SSU rRNA". It matches the Rfam family "Eukaryotic small subunit ribosomal RNA", at positions 548 to 1098 of the family's 1831-position model. Lineage: Eukaryota; Fungi; Glomeromycota; Glomeromycetes; Glomerales; Glomeraceae. The record is from RNAcentral.